This 301-nucleotide ribosomal RNA is filed under the name uncultured bacterium. RNAcentral's name for it is "partial 16S ribosomal RNA". It matches the Rfam family "Bacterial small subunit ribosomal RNA", at positions 509 to 807 of the family's 1533-position model. The record is from RNAcentral.
CAGCCGCCACGGUAAUACAGAGGGUGCGAGCGUUAAUCGGAUUUACUGGGCGUAAAGCGUGCGUAGGCGGCUUCUUAAGUCGGAUGUGAAAUCCCUGAGCUUAACUUAGGAAUUGCAUUCGAUACUGGGAAGCUAGAGUAUGGGAGAGGAUGGUAGAAUUCCAGGUGUAGCGGUGAAAUGCGUAGAGAUCUGGAGGAAUACCGAUGGCAAAGGCAGCCAUCUGGCCUAAUACUGACGCUGAGGUACGAAAGCAUGGGGAGCAAACAGGAUUAGAUACCCGCGUAGUCCCUGUCUCUUAUAC